CACCUGUCACAGCUCCACUGAAAUUUAAAAACCAUAAACAUCAUAAAACGAACAACAUGCAUGAAAUGAAACUAUGUUCCAGCCGUAAAGGAAGACAAACUAUUCUUCCAGCAGCACAGAUUCAUAAUUAAAGGGUGAGCUGUAAUCCCAGUUCUUGAGAGGCUGAGGCAAGAGGACAAUUGAAAAUGCAGAGUCCAACCUGGGCCUACAUGGGGAAUUUCAAUGCCAGAUGUGGGUCCCUGCCAACAGUUGCCCUGCCAAUGGCUGGGCAGUGGGACAGAGACGGGACUUUGAGGAUUCCUGAAGAGGAAACACAGGACCCAGAGAAGGAGAGUCACCAACACAACAACAGAGCUGUGGAAGACAGAGAACCAACCAUGUAAGAAUCAAGGAAAAGCAGCCCCAGGGGCCACUCCCUCAAUUAGGUCUGGGAUAGCAGAGAUAAAGUAUAGAUUCAUCAGAGGGGACAGUGUGGUGGCCACGGGAAGCUUUGGAAGUGGCCCAACCAUCCAUUGAGGCAUCCCUUCCCCCUGAGGAACCAGCCACAUGAUGGUAUAAUAUAGAGGCAUGGGGAGGGGAGUCAAGAGGUUAGUAGAGACAGAGGGAGAGAGAGAGAGAGAGAGA
Molecule: non-coding RNA, 624 nt
Organism: Rattus norvegicus (Norway rat)
Lineage: Eukaryota; Metazoa; Chordata; Mammalia; Rodentia; Muridae
Source: RefSeq, a predicted model, not a curated record